UCCCUAGUAGCUCAGAUAGUAAAGCAUCUGCUUGCACUGCAGGAUACCUGGGUUCAAUCCCUGGUUGGGAAG
Molecule: transfer RNA, 72 nt
Filed under: Ovis aries (sheep)
Lineage: Eukaryota; Metazoa; Chordata; Mammalia; Artiodactyla; Bovidae
Rfam family: tRNA
About the family: Transfer RNA (tRNA) molecules are approximately 80 nucleotides in length. Their secondary structure includes four short double-helical elements and three loops (D, anti-codon, and T loops).
Source: Rfam by way of RNAcentral